Molecule: non-coding RNA, 25 nt
Filed under: Mus musculus (house mouse)
Lineage: Eukaryota; Metazoa; Chordata; Mammalia; Rodentia; Muridae
Source: RNAcentral
UAAAAUCAUGACUGGUGUGACUUGU